This is a non-coding RNA of Nicotiana tabacum (common tobacco), 493 nucleotides long. Lineage: Eukaryota; Viridiplantae; Streptophyta; Magnoliopsida; Solanales; Solanaceae. The record is from RefSeq and is a predicted model, not a curated record.
GUGAGGGACUUUGUGAUGUUGAUUUCAAGGGGCAUCUUGUCCUUGUCUAGCAGCUUGAUGGGAUGUAUUUAAAUGCAGAGAAAGAUGGAAAAAUCACGCGAGCGUGUCUUUUCCAUAAGCCUGAAGCUGUAUCCAGGCACAUAUGAGAUCAAGUUCAUUGUUGACGGCAUAUGGAGGAUUGAUCCUUUGAGGCCCACUGUUCAUAACAACGGACAUGAAAACAAUCUUCUCAUUAUUAUAUAAGAGCAUGUCUCUGAAUGAUACACGAUUGCAGGAAUUCAAGAUGAACUCGAGGAAGCUUCGAGAGGUCAGCUAGAAAUGAAAAUCACAAAAGAGAAAAGAAUGGAAGAGAGAAGAUUUAGGAUAGAAGUGUAUAUUUCAUUGAGGAUACUGAAUAUGUAUUACAGAUGUAUUUAUAUCAAUUACAUUGUAUCAUGAGUUCCAAUCCUACCGACAGAUUCUCUCAUUAACAUAAGUUAGUUAUUGUAACUAA